GCGGAUGUAGCUCAGUUGGUAGAGCAUCACCUUGCCAAGGUGAAUGUCGCGGGUUCGAGUCUCGUCAUCCGCU
Molecule: transfer RNA, 73 nt
Filed under: Actinomycetota bacterium
Lineage: Bacteria; Bacillati; Actinomycetota
Description: Actinobacteria bacterium tRNA-Gly
Rfam family: tRNA
About the family: Transfer RNA (tRNA) molecules are approximately 80 nucleotides in length. Their secondary structure includes four short double-helical elements and three loops (D, anti-codon, and T loops).
Source: RNAcentral